UGGGGAAUAUUGCACAAUGGAGGGAACUCUGAUGCAGCGACGCCGCGUGAACGAAGAAGGCUUUCGAGUCGUAAAGUUCUUUUAUAUGGGAAGAUAAUGACGGUACCAUAAGAAAAAGCCCCGGCUAACUACGUGCCAGCAGCCGCGGUAAUACGUAGGGGGCUAGCGUUGUCCGCAAUCACUGGGCGUAAAGGGUUCGCAGGCGGAAAUGCAAGUCAGGUGUAAAAGGCAGUAGCUUAACUACUGUAAGCAUUUGAAACUGCAUAUCUUGAGAAGAGUAGAGGUAAGUGGAAUUUUUAGUGUAGCGGUGAAAUGCGUAGAUAUUAAAAAGAAUACCGGUGGCGAAGGCGACUUACUGGGCUCAUUCUGACGCUGAGGAACGAAAGCGUGGGUAGCAAACAGG
RNAcentral lists this ribosomal RNA (403 nucleotides) under Fusobacteriota bacterium. RNAcentral's name for it is "Fusobacteria bacterium partial 16S ribosomal RNA". It matches the Rfam family "Bacterial small subunit ribosomal RNA", at positions 355 to 776 of the family's 1533-position model. Lineage: Bacteria; Fusobacteriati; Fusobacteriota. The record is from RNAcentral.